Molecule: RNase P RNA, 343 nt
Filed under: Luminiphilus syltensis NOR5-1B
Lineage: Bacteria; Pseudomonadati; Pseudomonadota; Gammaproteobacteria; Cellvibrionales; Halieaceae
Description: gamma proteobacterium NOR51-B Bacterial RNase P class A
Rfam family: Bacterial RNase P class A
About the family: Ribonuclease P (RNase P) is a ubiquitous endoribonuclease, found in archaea, bacteria and eukarya as well as chloroplasts and mitochondria.
Source: Rfam by way of RNAcentral
CGAGUUGGUUAGGCGAUCGCUGUCGCAAUGCGGCAGAGGAAAGUCCGGGCUCCAACGGGUCAGAGUGCCAGGUAACGCCUGGGGGACGUGAGUCCACGGAAAGUGCAGCAGAAAGGAAACCGCCGGGCAUUGUCCGGUAAGGGUGAAAAGGUGCGGUAAGAGCGCACCGCGCGGCUGGCAACAGGCGUGGCGAUGGUAAACCCCACUCGGAGCAAGACCAAAUAGGAAUCCAAUAGCCGUGACCCUCGGCGGAUUCGGGUAGGUCGCUUCAGGCGGGCGGUGACGCCCGUCGCAGAUGAAUGAUCGUCCAAGACAGAACCCGGCUUAUCGACCAACUCACUAU